RNAcentral lists this ribosomal RNA (425 nucleotides) under uncultured rumen bacterium. RNAcentral's name for it is "bacterial SSU rRNA". It matches the Rfam family "Bacterial small subunit ribosomal RNA", at positions 354 to 776 of the family's 1533-position model. The record is from RNAcentral.
GUGGGGAAUAUUGGUCAAUGGACGAGAGUCUGAACCAGCCAAGUAGCGUGCAGGAUGACUGCCCUAUGGGUUGUAAACUGCUUUUAUCAGGGAAUAAAGUGAGGCACGUGUGCCUUUUUGUAUGUACCUGAUGAAUAAGGACCGGCUAAUUCCGUGCCAGCAGCCGCGGUAAUACGGAAGGUCCGGGCGUUAUCCGGAUUUAUUGGGUUUAAAGGGAGCGCAGGCGGAAGGUUAAGCGUGACGUGAAAUGUACCGGCUCAACCGGUGAUGUGCGUCGCGAACUGGCUUUCUUGAGUGAGUACGACGCUGGCGGAAUUCGUGGUGUAGCGGUGAAAUGCUUAGAUAUCACGAAGAACUCCGAUUGCGAAGGCAGCCGGCGAGUCCUCAACUGACGCUAAUGCUCGAAAGUGCGGGUAUCGAACAGG